GGAGGCUAUUGAGCGUCUUGGUGCCGAUUCAUUUUUGGUCGUAUAAACUUGUAUACUUUACAUUGACUUUUGCUUAUUCUAAUAUCAUUCUUGUUAAAUAUUGCUUCUUUUAAAUAAUUGAGACAGUGUCUGCAAGUCACCGACUUCUGCCUUUGACUGGUCUAUUGAAGUCCCAUGGAAAACUAAUUUUGGUUGGUGCACCAAAGAAGCCAUUUGAGCUA
This 221-nucleotide unclassified non-coding RNA is filed under the name Hevea brasiliensis (rubber tree). Lineage: Eukaryota; Viridiplantae; Streptophyta; Magnoliopsida; Malpighiales; Euphorbiaceae. The record is from RNAcentral.